AUUAAAGGGAGAGAGAACGAGAGGCAUCAGAAAACAGAGGGCUAGUAUGCUCCUCCUCCUUCAACAGAGACAACCAUGACAAUUAGCUCAAAAAUCCCAUCCAAAGACCACCUCAAAGCGUCAGCGUCUCCACCACCAAACUAGCAGCUUCACACCUUCAUCUUCAUCCCAAAAAGCUAUCAAAACAGCCUCAUUUUUUCACUCAAAAACGCUACCGAAACAAACCCCAAAAUCAACUCACAAACCUCCAUGAAACACAUGAAAAUAAAGCCAAUAAAUACUACUUAAACCCCAGAAAAAUUCAGCCAUGAAGGCUUCAUCUUCCACCCUCAAAACCAGUCUUUCAACCCCAUGAAAAGCUGGUCACUUUCAGACAUAAAACAGUCCAAAAUGUAGUAAAAAACGCAGCUGCUUCAUUCGAUAAAAACGCAGCUGCUGCUUCUUUUCUUCCUCCAAAAUUGACCUCAAACCACCCUUAAACCACUGGCAAAACCAGCCACGAAAAUCAGAUCCAGAAUAGCUUUUUUUUUUUUUUUUUUUUACCGAACAAAACAGCAGCGCCAAGAGUCGAGGUCGACGGUGAAGUCCCAUUUCUUUGUUCCUGUUCGAGUUUCCGCUUCGGGUCUUUGUUCGCGUCUAUGUAAAUCAGCCGGUUCCUUAAUAAAAAGGGAAAGCUCUGCUCAUCAAAGGAUCUGAGGCAGGUGCAUCUGGCUAUCAUCCCGGCGCGUACUCUUGAUACUCCGAGACUUUGCGAUGAGCUGCCUUUCGAGCCCGUUCUGCAGCACCCGACGUCUUUCUCUUGCAUUUACUUUCUGUCUAUUUUAUUUCAGACAGUAGUGUAGUAUAUUUUUUGUAUAUUCUACUAGUAGCUCAUAUACUUGUGACAUCGGGUCUUGAAAAUUAUGCUAGUAGGCACUUGAUGAUUUUUUAUUAUUUACUUCACCUAA
Nicotiana attenuata is the source of this 947-nucleotide long non-coding RNA. RefSeq lists it as uncharacterized. The record is from RefSeq and is a predicted model, not a curated record. The transcript is spliced from 2 exons. NCBI's taxonomy places the organism in Eukaryota, Viridiplantae, Streptophyta, Magnoliopsida, Solanales, Solanaceae.